NNCCCCGGGUGCGGACGGUUGGCUGUCAGCGGGGCCGCGGUCGGGGGCGUGUGUGCUGCGGCGGCAAUGCCCAGGCGGCGGUCCGCGCACCCCUCAAACACGAGCUCCGACAGCGCCCGGCAUGCAGGGAGACGAGCCGCCUGGGUCCCCGAGGCCUCCAUCGCGACCGCCCCACGCUGCCUCUCUGUGCUGCCGGCCACUGGGCCGCGGGCGCGCUUUAACCCCUGCUGCGUCCGUGCCGCGGUUCCCCGGUGCGGCCUCGGAACGCUCCAACACCUCUCUGUGUGCUUGUCCUGCACGAGGGCGACCUCACAACCCGAAGAAAAGUCAAGGCUAAGGGUCACCCUUACUUAUUUCCUCUCCAAACACGAAUCCCCUAUGGCUGGGUUUUUCUCUAUUUCUCCGUUUCCAGGGUCCCUCUGGUCCCGGCCCCCCUUCACUCCUAUGGCCUCUUCGCGGCUUCUCUCGUGGCCCCUGGGCAGUCCUCUCUGUGCAAAGCAACCAGUCUUUUCAGACGCAUGAGAUGGAGACAUCACUUCUUUUCUCCCAAAUGAAUAGCUGACUGUCUCAACCCAGCUCAGUGAAUAUGCUGUUCUUUGUCCGUCGACUGGAAAUACUACCAUGUGAGUCUGUAUCGGGGUCCUCUGUUCCCUUUCAUUGCUCUGUUUCGUAUCAUUGCACCAAUAACUAUUUUAAUUAUUGUUAACAUAAUAAAUUAUCAGGUUAGACAAAGGCCUGCUUUAUUCUUAUUUUUCAGAAUUAUCCUGGCUAAACUUGUGAGUUGAUUUUUCUGAUUGUUUAGAAUCAAGUUCCCC
RNAcentral lists this long non-coding RNA (815 nucleotides) under Mustela putorius furo (domestic ferret). RNAcentral describes it as "lncRNA (ENSMPUG00000031557.1)". Lineage: Eukaryota; Metazoa; Chordata; Mammalia; Carnivora; Mustelidae. The record is from RNAcentral.